Molecule: non-coding RNA, 26 nt
Filed under: Cricetulus griseus (Chinese hamster)
Lineage: Eukaryota; Metazoa; Chordata; Mammalia; Rodentia; Cricetidae
Source: RNAcentral
UUAAAAGACUUCUCUCUCUUUUUAAG